Molecule: long non-coding RNA, 581 nt
Organism: Aplysia californica (California sea hare)
Lineage: Eukaryota; Metazoa; Mollusca; Gastropoda; Aplysiida; Aplysiidae
Exons: 3
Source: RefSeq, a predicted model, not a curated record
CUGUGUUCUUCUCAUUGAAGUAGUAAGCGGUCUGGCAAGGGGGCAGGGAAGGAGGCGUAUGAGAAAAGCGAGCUGAAGCAUGGAGACAAAAUCUUUCACAAGUUCUUAAAGAGACUGCAGCGCUGUCCCAAACAGUGUGUCAGGUAUGAACGUGGAGGCCAGCCUUUGUUGAUCCGAACCCUGGAGGCUCAGAACGUAGUCCAGUCUUGUGCUCAGUGUGGAGGUCAGAGGUCAUUUGAGCUGCAACUUCUACCUCCGCUGGUUUGUGCCUUGAAGCUGGAAGAUGGUUCUCUGUCCCCCAUUGAGUUCGGGACGGUCUUGGUCUACACCUGUGACAACAACUGCUGGACACACGAUGACCCCAAUCUUGACUUUGUGGAAGAACAGGUGAUCCUACAGGCAGACCCUGAUGACCAUCUGUAUAGAUAACCAGUAACCAGUUAGAAUUGCUCUGUGAUAUGACUAUUAAAAUGUGUUUGUCUCCCUGUCCAUGACAAGUCUGGAUUAUUCUUUUGUGUUGAAAAUAGCUUCUAUACAGUCAUAUGUUUAAAUAAUAAAAAGCCAUUGAUUUGAAACACAAG